CCAGGUAGCAUUCCUCUUUGACGAUACCUGCCCGCUGGUACAAGCCAAUACGGGCUAGGCAGUCAUUUUAAGAGAAGCGUGAACGCUAAACGAGGGCAGAACAAGGAUCCCAAGGGAUCCCGUGCCCACAUCAGGUUCCGUAUCCAAGAUAACAAGCAGCACUCAAUGUGCCACAACAUCAAUGCAAGCAUUCAAGAUGUGGUGCAAAGAGAUAGCUUCGAGGUCCAUCCGAUGCCACAUUUGUGACACAAGACGAAGGCAACUUCCAUCAAUCAACACAAUACCAUAAUAAGGUAGGCAACACAGGAAACCCACAGUCUGCUUAGUCGAUACACAGCUAAACA
Molecule: unclassified non-coding RNA, 344 nt
Filed under: Parthenium incanum
Lineage: Eukaryota; Viridiplantae; Streptophyta; Magnoliopsida; Asterales; Asteraceae
Description: partial external transcribed spacer
Source: RNAcentral